Molecule: ribosomal RNA, 484 nt
Filed under: uncultured bacterium
Lineage: Bacteria
Description: partial 16S ribosomal RNA
Rfam family: Bacterial small subunit ribosomal RNA
Source: RNAcentral
AUUGAACGCUGGCGGCAGGCCUAACACAUGCAAGUCGAGCGGAUGAAGGGAGCUUGCUCCUGGAUUCAGCGGCGGACGUGUGAGUAAUGCCUAGGAAUCUGCCUGGUAGUGGGGGAUAACGUCCGGAAACGGGCGCUAAUACCGCAUACGUCCUGAGGGAGAAAGUGGGGGAUCUUCGGACCUCACGCUAUCAGAUGAGCCUAGGUCGGAUUAGCUAGUUGGUGGGGUAAAGGCCUACCAAGGCGACGAUCCGUAACUGGUCUGAGAGGAUGAUCAGUCACACUGGAACUGAGACACAGUCCAGACUCCUACGGGAGGCAGCAGUGGGGAAUAUUGGACAAUGGGCGAAAGCCUGAUCCAGCCAUGCCGCGUGUGUGAAGAAGGUCUUCGGAUUGUAAAGCACUUUAAGUUGGGAGGAAGGGCAGUAAGUUAAUACCUUGCUGUUUUGACGUUACCAACAGAAUAAGCACCGGCUAACUUCGUG